CUAUAUAUAUAUAUAUAUAUAUAUAUAGUCUAGCUACUAUACUAUCAAUAGUAUUUGGGUAAUUUACUAUACAAUUUUUAGUUGUUAGAUCUAUUUUUUGAUUAUUUCUACCAUUAGAUCCAAUUUAAAUCUAGAUUUUGAUUUUAUUUUUAAUUUUAAAAUAAAUUUAAUUUUUUAAAUUAUGGGUUUAUAUUAAAAACAAUUGUACGUUAUGAAACACAUAAAAGAUAUUU
RNAcentral lists this long non-coding RNA (233 nucleotides) under Ananas comosus (pineapple). Its description in RNAcentral is "long non-coding RNA (ACOM_LNC023781)". Lineage: Eukaryota; Viridiplantae; Streptophyta; Magnoliopsida; Poales; Bromeliaceae. The record is from RNAcentral.